CCUACGGGAGGCAGCAGUAAGGAAUAUUGGUCAAUGGACGCAAGUCUGAACCAGCCAUGCCGCGUGCAGGAAGACGGCUCUAUGAGUUGUAAACUGCUUUUGUACGAGGGUAAACGCAGAUACGCGUAUCUGUCUGAAAGUAUCGUACGAAUAAGGAUCGGCUAACUCCGUGCCAGCAGCCGCGGUAAUACGGAGGAUUCAAGCGUUAUCCGGAUUUAUUGGGUUUAAAGGGUGCGUAGGCGGUCGGAUAAGUUAGAGGUGAAAUCCCGAGGCUCAAAUUCGGAAUUGCCUCUGAUACUGUUCGGCUAGCGAGUAGUUGCGGUAGGCGGAAUGUAUGGUGUAGCGGUGAAAUGCUUAGAGAUCAUACAGAACACCGAUUGCGAAGGCAGCUUACCGGCGCCCAACUGACGCUGAAGCACGAAAGCGUGGGUAUCGAACAGGAUUAGAUACCCUUGUAGUC
Molecule: ribosomal RNA, 460 nt
Filed under: uncultured bacterium
Lineage: Bacteria
Description: partial 16S ribosomal RNA
Rfam family: Bacterial small subunit ribosomal RNA
Source: RNAcentral